UGUACACACCGCCCGUCACACCACGAGAGUUUGUAACACCCGAAGUCGGCGAGGUAACCGUAAGGAGCCAGCCGCCUAAGGUGGGAUAGAUGAUUGGGGUGAAGUCGUAACAAGGUAGCCGUAUCGGAAGGUGCGGCUGGAGCACCCCCUU
RNAcentral lists this ribosomal RNA (151 nucleotides) under uncultured bacterium. RNAcentral's name for it is "partial 16S ribosomal RNA". It matches the Rfam family "Bacterial small subunit ribosomal RNA", at positions 1382 to 1533 of the family's 1533-position model. The record is from RNAcentral.